AUGGCUCUGAUGGACAAGGAGGCAGAAGGAUUUAUUUUCCUGGAUUCGAAGAAGCUGAUGACAAAGAACUUGAAGUGGCCGAUUGCUGGUAAGGUGUGUUCUCCACGUCCAAUGAAUAUUGAGCUGGAACGUGCUAUGAAAAGAGCAUGGGGUCUGCAUAAAGAAGCCCAGUUCAGGAACAUGGGAGAUAACAUUUUUGUGGUUCACUUCGGAAGUGAGGGUGACUGGAAACAUGCUAUGUUUAGUGGCCCUUGGCAAUUUGAUUUCAAUGUGGUCACUAUUAAAGAGUAUGAAGGUGAUGUCAGAGUGGAUAUCUGGGUUUGGAUCACUGAUCUCCCUCCGGAUAAGAGAAAUGAGGAAUUUGACAGGGCCCUUGGCAACUGGCUGGGGUCGACGGUGAGGGUUGAUGUGGAAAAGGAAGGUUUUGCCCGUGGUAAUUGUUUGCGGAUUAGGAUGACAAUCUCUGUCUUUGAGCUGCUUGUGCGAGGCUUCUACCUUAAACCCUCACUAGAGGACAAGGUUGGGGAUUGGUUCGACUUCUACUACGAAAAGGUGCCUCACUUUUGCUUUGAAUGUGGUCAUUUGGCUCAUGUUGGAGUGGUCUGUGUUCCCCCGACUGGCCCGUCCUCUCAAUGGGGGGGGGGGGCUGGCUUAGGGCAUCUCUGGGCAGAAACAACAAUGGGAAAGAUCACUCUGACGGGGCGGCAAUAA
Molecule: ribosomal RNA, 711 nt
Filed under: Triticum aestivum (bread wheat)
Lineage: Eukaryota; Viridiplantae; Streptophyta; Magnoliopsida; Poales; Poaceae
Description: partial small subunit ribosomal RNA
Source: RNAcentral